UAUGUGAUCGUCUCUCGCAUAUCAAUAAGCGGAGGAAAAGAAACUAACAAGGAUUCCCCUAGUAACGGCGAGUGAAGCGGGAAGAGCUCAAAUUUGAAAUCUUAAAGGGUUUCCCUUUACGAAUUGUAGUUUAAAGAAGUGUUUUCUGUUGAGGUUUUGGUAAAAGUUCUUUGGAAUAGGACAUCAUAGAGGGUGAGAAUCCCGUAUUUGACCUUUACUUUCAACUUUGUGAUACACUUUCAAAGAGUCGGAUUGUUUGGGAAUGCAGUCCAAAAUGGGUGGUAAAUUUCAUCUAAAGCUAAAUAUUGGCGAGAGACCGAUAGCGAACAAGUACCGUGAGGGAAAGAUGAAAAGAACUUCGAAAAGAGAGUUAAACAGUACGUGAAAUUGUCAAAAGGGAAGCGUUUGACACCAGUGUUGUUUUUCUGAAAAUCAAUUAAAGAACUGUUUAUGCUAAGUUGUUUAGACUUUAUCAGCUAACUGUUUAGUUUUGAGCUUUUCUUUAAUGCACUUUUCAGUUAACAAGUCAACAUCAAUUUCUUUUGCUGUAAAAAAGCUUGAGGAAGGUGGCUUGAGAUUCGUCUUAAGUGUUUAUAGCCUCUUGCCUAUGCAGUCGGAGAGAUUGAGGUCUGCAGCGUAGAUCCUUCGGGGCUAAAUGCAUUUGUGCUAAGUUAUAGCAUUUUAUAGACAACUUGUUGACUAUGAUUUGUCUUGUAGCUUACUCGCUUAUGUUAUUUUACCUACGCUUAGGAUGUUGACACACGCGCGUGCUCG
This 774-nucleotide ribosomal RNA is filed under the name uncultured Neocallimastigales. RNAcentral describes it as "partial large subunit ribosomal RNA". It matches the Rfam family "Eukaryotic large subunit ribosomal RNA", at positions 24 to 643 of the family's 3401-position model. Lineage: Eukaryota; Fungi; Neocallimastigomycota; Neocallimastigomycetes; Neocallimastigales. The record is from RNAcentral.